This 482-nucleotide ribosomal RNA is filed under the name uncultured bacterium. Its description in RNAcentral is "partial 16S ribosomal RNA". It matches the Rfam family "Bacterial small subunit ribosomal RNA", at positions 30 to 507 of the family's 1533-position model. The record is from RNAcentral.
AUUGAACGCUGGCGGCAUGCUUUACACAUGCAAGUCGAACGGUAACAGGCCGCAAGGUGCUGACGAGUGGCGCACGGGUGAGUAAUGCAUCGGAACGUGCCCAGUCGUGGGGGAUAACUACUCGAAAGAGUAGCUAAUACCGCAUACGAUCUAUGGAUGAAAGCGGGGGACCGUAGGGCCUCGCGCGAUUGGAGCGGCCGAUGUCAGAUUAGGUAGUUGGUGGGGUAAAGGCUCACCAAGCCAACGAUCUGUAGCUGGUCUGAGAGGACAACCAGCCACACUGGGACUGAGACACGGCCCAGACUCCUACGGGAGGCAGCAGUGGGGAAUUUUGGACAAUGGGCGCAAGCCUGAUCCAGCAAUGCCGCGUGCAGGAAGAAGGCCUUCGGGUUGUAAACUGCUUUUGUACGGAACGAAACGGCUCUGGUUAAUACCCGGGGCUAAUGACGUUACCGUAAGAAUAAGCACCGGCUAACUACGUG